CAACUUUCAACAAUGGAUCUCUUGGUUCUGGCAUCGAUGAAGAACGCAGCGAAAUGCGAUAAGUAGUGUGAAUUGCAGAAUUCAGUGAAUCAUCGAAUCUUUGAACGCACAUUGCGCCCCUUGGUAUUCCAUGGGGCAUGCCUGUUCGAGCGUCAUG
This 157-nucleotide ribosomal RNA is filed under the name Neobambusicola strelitziae. RNAcentral describes it as "5.8S ribosomal RNA". It matches the Rfam family "5.8S ribosomal RNA". Rfam says of the family: 5.8S ribosomal RNA (5.8S rRNA) is a component of the large subunit of the eukaryotic ribosome. It is transcribed by RNA polymerase I as part of the 45S precursor that also contains 18S and 28S rRNA. The record is from RNAcentral. Lineage: Eukaryota; Fungi; Ascomycota; Dothideomycetes; Pleosporales; Bambusicolaceae.